RNAcentral lists this long non-coding RNA (1130 nucleotides) under Cottoperca gobio. RNAcentral describes it as "lncRNA (ENSCGOG00000016528.1)". Lineage: Eukaryota; Metazoa; Chordata; Actinopteri; Perciformes; Bovichtidae. The record is from RNAcentral.
CCUCUCCAUCCCCAGUCAGGGAUAGGAAGGUGAUUGAAGGUGCUGUAGGCGGUCCCUCUCAGUCCAGUGAAAGACAACAUAAUGGUACAAUAUCCAGUUACUCCCACCUCAUCAGCUCACCUGGGCUCCAGCUGCAUCUCAUCUUCAAUCAAGCCAGUGAAAUUUAAUGUCCCUCUUGUCUUUUUUUCUUCUUCUGGGAACUCCUUCUCCAAACAUUAAAGAGACAUGGAUAAAGGAUACAGCUGAGGAGAUUUCAAAUGAGUUAUCGUCGGAAGAGUUAGAUAGGAUCAAAGGAAUGCUAGAUUUAAACUUUUUCAGUUUUAAAAUGAUAUAGCUUCACUUUUCCAAGACAAACUAAACAGAAUCUUUUCUUAUUUCUCUGUUACCUGUGAUAAGUGUGAGUCAGGUGACUGGACUUUAGGUCAUCUUUUCUGGUCUUGGCAUAAACUCAAGAGUGUCCGGAAUGAUAUUUUUUUAUUUGUACAUAUACAGUAAACAGCUAAUCUAUUGUGAUAUUACACUGUAGGCUAUCGCAAUCAUCAUCUAAGUGACAUGCAUGUAAAAAGAAAUCUCUGCAAACUGGCUAUUUGUUUUACAUUGUCAAGUCUAGUUGUUUUUUAUCUUUUGUGUUAUAAAAAAAGGAAAAUAAUACUUAAACAUGUAUUUAAAGAGAACUGUUCUCCAUUGCAAUAAAUACUCUGAACACUUCCACUAACCAUGACAGAUGUUCUGCAUAUUUAGCAAUUUUGUAAAUAUUGUCUGUGAAUUUCGUCUUGUGGUAAUAUAUGAAAAUGUCUGUUGUGUUAGUCAUGUGUCUAAUCUGAUGUUGAUAUUUCUCUAAAUGUGAUGUUACUGACAUUGCUCUAAUGAGUUUACCCAACGUGCUGUACGGAAAGCAAAUUGCACAAACCUUGUGUGGUCAUUAAUAAUAAAUGUUUGAAUGAAUGAUUGAAAAUGAUUUCUCUUGAGAUUUCUGAGCUGUUUAUCUGUCAUAAGUUAAAUGCUGAUUGUUGCUUAUUUGGUCAUGAAUAUUAAAUUCUAUAGAGUAAUUCUUAAGUUUUGAAACCAAGUUUUCAGGGGCUUUAAGUUAGCAUUAUUGUUUUCAACCAAGACAAGAAUAUGUUCCUAAC